GCCAGAUGUGGUGGCACCCACAUCUGUAGUCCCAGCCACUCAGGAGGCUGAGAUAGGAGGAUCACUUGAGUCCAGGAGUUCAAGGCUGCAGUAAGCUAUGGUGGUGCCUGUGAAUAGCCAAUGCACUCCAGCCUGGGCAACAUAGUGAGACUCUGGUUCUU
Gorilla gorilla gorilla (western lowland gorilla) is the source of this 161-nucleotide non-coding RNA. It matches the Rfam family "Metazoan signal recognition particle RNA". From Rfam's summary of the family: The signal recognition particle (SRP) is a universally conserved ribonucleoprotein. NCBI's taxonomy places the organism in Eukaryota, Metazoa, Chordata, Mammalia, Primates, Hominidae. The record is from Rfam.